Molecule: long non-coding RNA, 3076 nt
Filed under: Homo sapiens (human)
Lineage: Eukaryota; Metazoa; Chordata; Mammalia; Primates; Hominidae
Description: HSALNT0131188
Source: RNAcentral
CUCAAGUAAUGUCACAUGGCGAAUGAACCACCACAUGCCCAGCUCCAGCUCAAGACACAAGAAGCUCUGGCAGCUCAGAAGACGCAUUGCAACCUUUAGGACCCGAUGGAAGUCCCACCAGGGCAAGGAGCCUGUCCUCCUCACCACUGCGUCCCGAGGACCACGGAUGGGGACUGGCAACACAUUGGGUUCAGUAUCUCGUAAAUAACCCAGAUUGGUCUCUGCAGAUGGAAUGUGGAACCCUGUCCUGGCUGCUGACGGACUCACUGACUUGCACAGGACUCAAUGCAUCAGGUCUCCUUCAUCAUCCCAACUCACUUGGGAGCUACUCUUGGUCAUCUUUUGACAGCCGUGUGACUCCCCCAGGUCAGCUGCAUCCUUCCCUCUUCCAAAUCCCUGUGGUGCACAUCAUGCAGAGACUUCUAAAGAACUCACCAUUGGGCUUUGGAGUGUGGUGACUAAGAUGAUGUUUCAGACUGGAAGACGCCCAUCCUACUGAGGGAAUGACAAAGGCAGAGCAAGGACAUUUGAAAACGUGUGCUUCGAACUGUGAGAACACAAAAUGCCCUAGCUUCCACGAGUCCAGAGCCCUUGGAUCUCCCUAAAGAUGCCACAUCGGGCUUCUUGCACCAUUUCAUCAUUGUCAUGUGUGGGCCGUCUAUUCCAUGAACUACUGGACGAAAUUCACCCAUGAUAUUUCAAGCUGUCAUCCCUCUCUGGACCUGCUGUGAUAUGCUGGGACUGCAGACACACUCACUUUGCCACUGGCUCCCUGGAAGGCUCUGCCAGGCAGAGGAAGAUGGCCCCAUUCUUCCUGUUCCCUGUGAGUGCCUUCCAGCAAUGCCUCUUUACUCUGCCAGCAGCAGCUGUCCCAUCUGACUCCAUUUGGCAUUUGUCUGCUGCUCUAUCUAGCAUCCUCCUGCACCUAACCACAGUCACUGGCACCCACUGGGCAGUGCACCCCACUCAAGGUUUGGGGUCCAGACCCACAGUGCUCCUUCUUCAGGCCUAGAGUGACUUCCCUCCUUCCCUCCCCAACUGUGAUACCUUUCUUUGGCCUUUUAAAAAAUCUAAAGUACCUGGUCGAUAAUCUUUAUGUUAACUUUAUUCUGUUAAAAAAAAAAAAAGCCGAUGUGUUUUCUAUCUCCUGGUUGGACUCUGGCUGAUGCAAUAGGUUUUUCUAUUUCUCAAUACCAUCAAAAUAUUCUUAAGUUGGAUAUAGAUACUACAUUAUGAAAACCAUGAAACAAUGUGAAAAUAAUGUACUUAUAACAAGUUAUUCAAGUGAAUUAAACUAAAAUGUUAUAAUAUGCUUAGCUGUAAUUACAUAAAUGUUAAAUAUCCACAUAGGUCAAGAAUUGAAUAGAACCUGAACAGAUGAAAGCAGUAAUUGUUCAUUGGUCGAAUUAAAGGAGAUUUCACUGUUUGCUUUUGGAUUUGUAGUAGAUGUAUUAGUUCAUACUCACAUUGCUAUAAAGAAACACCUGAGACUGGGUAAUUUAUAGAACAAACAGGUUUAAUUGACUCACCGUUCCACAAGCUAUACAGGAAGCAUGAUGCUGACAUCUACUCCACUUCUGGAGAGGCCUCAGGAAACUUACAAACAUGACGAAAGGCAAAGGGGGAGCCAGCACUUCACAUGGGCAGAGUAGGAGGAAGAGAGAGAGGGGAGGUGCCACACACUUUUAAACAAUCGGAUCUCAUGAGAACUCACUGUACAGUAGCAAUGGUAGAUGGUGCUAAAUCAUUCAUGAGAACUCCAAUUGCCUCAUGGUUCUGAAGGCUGUAGGGAAAGCAUAAUGGCUUCUGCUUGGCUCCUGGGGAGGCCUCAGGACAUUGACAAUCAUAGUGGAAGGCAAAGGGGAAGCAGAUUUGUCUUACGUGGCCAGAGCAGGGGGAAGAGAGAGAGGAGGGAGGUGCCACGUCCUUUUAAAGAGCCACAUCUCAUGAGAACUCACUCACUGUACAGUAGCAAUGGUAGAUGGUGCUAAAUCAUUCAAGAGAGAUCCACCUCCCUGAUCCAAUCACCUCCCACCAGGCCCCUCCUCCAACACUGGUGAUUAAAAUUCAACAUGAGAUUUGAGCUGGAACACAGAUCCAAACUUUAUCAGUACAGUUGUCAUGUUAUUGUCUAUUUAACAACCUCAUUUAUAGCAUUGAUUAUUAUGUUUUAAUUUUGGUAAUCACUUUUAGCAAAUUGGGGAAGAUAUUUUUCAUAUAUAACAAAAAGCGAAUAUACUUAUAUAAAGAGCUCUUUCAAGUCUGUAAGAAAGAGAAAAAGCUUAAAGAUAUCUGCCAAAAUAAUACAAUGGCCAAAACCCCAUAAAAUUCAAACCUAUUAGUAACCAAAGAAAAUUAGGUGGAGACAUCAAGAUGCCAUUUUAUAACCUAUUAAGUUAUUAACAAUUAGGAAAAAAAACACUGGCAGUGAGUGUAUAAUGACUUGGCAGUUUCAUACAUGUAGGAGGAUGAACUGCCAGAAUCUUUGUUAGACAGUUUGAUAAUAUGAGUGGUAGACAAAAGCCAUUUGGGUGCAUCUUUACUUAUAAAAAAAUCAGAAAUACGAACUGUCCUUCAAAAAUGAUGAAGCAUCUAUGCAAUUUAGUGAUUGCUAACAACACUGAGGUUUUAAAAAAAAGUUUCCAAGAUAAUACAUUUUGCAAUUCCAUUAUACCAUGUUGAUACUUUUUAAGCUUCUGAAACCCAAGGAGGAAAUAUAAAUUCUCCUAGUUAGGUACAUUAAGGACCCUUUGUCUUUUAGUUACUUCGUAAGUUUUAAAACAUGGUUAACAUAAUUCACGUGUCAUGGAGCUAAGAGUCGGUAUGAAAAAUAAUGGUAAUUUCUAAAUUUUACUGGUUGAUGCAAACGUGUUUCAUAAAGAUAACAUAUUCAAAACCUAUACAAAAUCUACCCAUCUUGAUGGUAUUAAGAAAAAUAACCCAUGUCAUCACUGUCCUACUGCAGUGCAAUUAAAUAAAGAUGUUUUUGACAAUUUAUUUUCUGAGAACAUAAACCCAACUCAAUGUAUUUUUCAUUUGUAUUAUUUUCCCAUUUCACAAAACCAAGGGAAUUUAA